AACUUUCAGCAACGGAUCUCUUGGCUCUCGCAUCGAUGAAGAACGCAGCGAAAUGCGAUAAGUAAUGUGAAUUGCAGAAUUCAGUGAAUCAUCGAAUCUUUGAACGCACCUUGCGCCCUUUGGCUAUUCCGGAGGGCAUGCCUGUUUGAGUAUCA
This 155-nucleotide ribosomal RNA is filed under the name Tomentella sp. TAA195037. RNAcentral describes it as "5.8S ribosomal RNA". It matches the Rfam family "5.8S ribosomal RNA". Rfam says of the family: 5.8S ribosomal RNA (5.8S rRNA) is a component of the large subunit of the eukaryotic ribosome. It is transcribed by RNA polymerase I as part of the 45S precursor that also contains 18S and 28S rRNA. The record is from RNAcentral. RNAcentral also lists the same sequence under 2 other names. Lineage: Eukaryota; Fungi; Basidiomycota; Agaricomycetes; Thelephorales; Thelephoraceae.